UGAAGACUUUGCCGGAUUAGCUGAGAGGUGGUGCAUGGCCGUCGUCAGUUCGUACUGUGAAGCAUCCUGUUAAGUCAGGCAACGAGCGAGACCCACGCCCACAGUUGCCAGCGUACUCUCUGGAGUGACGGGUACACUGUGGGACCGCCGCUGCUAAAGCGGAGAAGGAAUGGGCAACGGUAGGUCAGUAUGCCCCGAAUCUCCCGGGCUACACGCGGGCUACAAUGACUGGGACAAUGGGCUCCUACCCCGAAAGGGGAUGGUAAUCUCAUAAACCCAGCCUUAGUUCGGAUCGAGGGCUGUAACCCGCCCUCGUGAAGCUGGAAUCCGUAGUAAUCGCGUUUCAACAUAGCGCGGUGAAUACGUCCCUGCUCCUU
Molecule: ribosomal RNA, 377 nt
Filed under: uncultured Methanosaeta sp.
Lineage: Archaea; Methanobacteriati; Methanobacteriota; Methanomicrobia; Methanotrichales; Methanotrichaceae
Description: bacterial SSU rRNA
Rfam family: Archaeal small subunit ribosomal RNA
Source: RNAcentral